CCUACGGGGGGCAGCAGUGGGGAAUAUUGGACAAUGGGCGCAAGCCUGAUCCAGCGACGCCGCGUGAGUGAUGAAGGCCUUCGGGUUGUAAAGCUCUGUGGGGAGGGACGAAAACAGUCAGGAAUAAUACCCUGGCUCUUGACGGUACCUCCUUAGCAAGCACCGGCUAACUCUGUGCCAGCAGCCGCGGUAAGACAGAGGGUGCAAACGUUGCUCGGAAUUACUGGGCGUAAAGCGCGUGUAGGCGGACGCGGAAGUCGGGUGUGAAAUCCCUGGGCUCAACCCAGGAACUGCAUCCGAAACUCCGUGUCUAGAGUGUCGGAGAGGGACGUGGAAUUCCUGGUGUAGAGGUGAAAUUCGUAGAUAUCAGGAGGAACACCGGUGGCGAAGGCGACGUCCUGGACGACGACUGACGCUGAGACGCGAAAGCGUGGGGAGCA
Molecule: ribosomal RNA, 440 nt
Filed under: uncultured bacterium
Lineage: Bacteria
Description: bacterial SSU rRNA
Rfam family: Bacterial small subunit ribosomal RNA
Source: RNAcentral